Molecule: ribosomal RNA, 409 nt
Filed under: bacterium
Lineage: Bacteria
Description: partial 16S ribosomal RNA
Rfam family: Bacterial small subunit ribosomal RNA
Source: RNAcentral
UGGGGAAUAUUGCACAAUGGGCGAAAGCCUGAUGCAGCGACGCCGCGUGAGGGAUGACGGCCUUCGGGUUGUAAACCUCUUUCAGUAGGGACGAAGCGCAAGUGACGGUACCUGCAGAAGAUGCACCGGCUAACUACGUGCCAGCAGCCGCGGUAAUACGUAGGGUGCGAGCGUUGUCCGGAAUUACUGGGCGUAAAGAGCUCGUAGGCGGUUUGUCACGUCGUCUGUGAAAUCCUAGGGCUUAACCCUGGACGUGCAGGCGAUACGGGCUGACUUGAGUACUACAGGGGAGACUGGAAUUUCUGGUGUAGCGGUGGAAUGCACAGAUAUCAGGAAGAACACCGAUGGCGAAGGCAGGUCUCUGGGUAGUAACUGACGCUGAGGAGCGAAAGCAUGGGUAGCGAACAGG